Molecule: unclassified non-coding RNA, 161 nt
Filed under: uncultured Mortierella
Lineage: Eukaryota; Fungi; Mortierellomycota; Mortierellomycetes; Mortierellales; Mortierellaceae
Description: sequence contains ITS1
Source: RNAcentral
UAAUGAGUGUUUAUGGCACUUUUAAAAAUCCAUACCCACCUUGUGUGCAUCGUUAGUCAUGUUCCUCGUUCUCUCUUGAGAGGGCGAGGAGGCAGACUUCAAAUUAAUCUAUCUUUAACCAGUUUGUCUGAAGCUGUUAGAGAAUGACUAAUUCUUAAACA